This 104-nucleotide non-coding RNA is filed under the name uncultured Acidaminococcus sp. RNAcentral's name for it is "SAM riboswitch (S box leader)". It matches the Rfam family "SAM riboswitch aptamer (S box leader)". From Rfam's summary of the family: The SAM riboswitch is found upstream of a number of genes which code for proteins involved in methionine or cysteine biosynthesis in Gram-positive bacteria. The SAM riboswitch acts at the level of transcription termination control. The record is from RNAcentral. Lineage: Bacteria; Bacillati; Bacillota; Negativicutes; Acidaminococcales; Acidaminococcaceae.
UUCAUCAAGAGUAACGGAGGGAUUGGCCCCAUGAUGUUACGGCAACCAUCAUACAUGCGUAUGAACGGUGCUAAGUCCAGCAGGAUGAAUUCCUGAGAGAUGAA